RNAcentral lists this ribosomal RNA (484 nucleotides) under uncultured bacterium. Its description in RNAcentral is "partial 16S ribosomal RNA". It matches the Rfam family "Bacterial small subunit ribosomal RNA", at positions 36 to 507 of the family's 1533-position model. The record is from RNAcentral.
AUGGCCCUCUUUCUUCAUUCCUAACACAUGCAAGUCGAGCGGAUGAAGGGAGCUUGCUCCUGGAUUCAGCGGCGGACGGGUGAGUAAUGCCUAGGAAUCUGCCUGGUAGUGGGGGAUAACGUCCGGAAACGGGCGCUAAUACCGCAUACGUCCUGAGGGAGAAAGUGGGGGAUCUUCGGACCUCACGCUAUCAGAUGAGCCUAGGUCGGAUUAGCUAGUUGGUGGGGUAAAGGCCUACCAAGGCGACGAUCCGUAACUGGUCUGAGAGGAUGAUCAGUCACACUGGAACUGAGACACGGUCCAGACUCCUACGGGAGGCAGCAGUGGGGAAUAUUGGACAAUGGGCGAAAGCCUGAUCCAGCCAUGCCGCGUGUGUGAAGAAGGUCUUCGGAUUGUAAAGCACUUUAAGUUGGGAGGAAGGGCAGUAAGUUAAUACCUUGCUGUUUUGACGUUACCAACAGAAUAAGCACCGGCUAACUUCGUG